UUACUGCUCAGUAACACGUGGUCAAGCUGCCCUGCGGUCAGGGAUAACCUCGGGAAACUGAGGAUAAGACCUGGUAGGUGAUUUCUGCUGGAAUGCUUAAUCGCCGAAAGGCAACGCCGCAGGAUGCGACCAUGUCCCAUCAGACUGUUGGCGGUGUAAAGGACCACCAAAUCUGCAACGGGUACGGGUUGUGAGAGCAAUAACCCGGAGAUGGGGACUGAGACAAUGCCCCAGGCCCUACGGGGCGCAGCAGUCGCGAAAACUCCGCUAUGCCGGAAACGGCGACGGGGGGAUUCUGAGUGCGUGCGGUUUUACCGUACGCUUUUGUCGAGACUAGAAACCUCGGCGAAUAAGGACUGGACAAGACCGGUGCCAGCACCCGCGGUAACACCGGCGGUCCGAGUGGUAGCCACAUUUACUGGGUUUGAAGCGUCCGUAGCUGGAUCGUUAAAUCUUGGGUUAAAUCCUGGGGCUCAACCUCAGGGUCGCCCGGGAGACUGGCGGUCUAGGGACUGGGAGAGGGCAAGGGAACUCUGUGGGUAGGGGCUAAAUCCUAUGAUCCACAGAUGACCACCGGUAGCGAAGGCGCUUGCCUGGAACAGGUCCGACAGUGAGGGACGAAGCCCAAGGGAGCGAACGGGAUUAGAUACCCCGGUAGUCUUGGGUGUAAACGAUGCGGACUGGGUGUUGGCGUUGCCAAGUGUGACGCCAGUGCCGAAGGGAAACCGUUAAGUCCGCCACCUGGGGAGUACGGCCGCAAGGCUGAAACUUAAAGGAAUUGGCGGGGGAGCACAAUCGAA
RNAcentral lists this ribosomal RNA (800 nucleotides) under uncultured archaeon. Its description in RNAcentral is "bacterial SSU rRNA". It matches the Rfam family "Archaeal small subunit ribosomal RNA", at positions 83 to 889 of the family's 1478-position model. The record is from RNAcentral.